RNAcentral lists this long non-coding RNA (290 nucleotides) under Bos taurus (domestic cattle). Its description in RNAcentral is "long non-coding RNA NONBTAT021468". The record is from RNAcentral. Lineage: Eukaryota; Metazoa; Chordata; Mammalia; Artiodactyla; Bovidae.
GAGGAUGUAUUCAGAGUGGGAAGGAAUAAAAAAUUGGGAAAAUGUCAAAAUUCAAGGUAGACAAUAGUCUAAACCAUUUGUAGCUUAGUAUCUAUCGCUGCAGACCACCUCAGCCCUUUGUUUUAGUCUGGGGUUAUGAAGGUAAAGAAGAGAGAGGAAAAAAAAAAUUGAGAUAGCUCAUGUAUUAAGAUUCUGUGCAAAUACAUUUUGUAUUCAUAUUAUUUCUCACUAAUGAGUGAUUUCGUCCAUUGUAUGUUUAGAAACAGACACUUUCCUUGAAUGGAAACCUC